RNAcentral lists this ribosomal RNA (253 nucleotides) under uncultured bacterium. Its description in RNAcentral is "partial 16S ribosomal RNA". It matches the Rfam family "Bacterial small subunit ribosomal RNA", at positions 524 to 776 of the family's 1533-position model. The record is from RNAcentral.
UACAGAGGGUGCGAGCGUUAAUCGGAAUUACUGGGCGUAAAGCGCGCGUAGGCGGCUUUGCAAGUCGGGUGUGAAAUCCCCAGGCUUAACCUGGGAACUGCAUUCGAGACUGCAUUGCUAGAGUAUGGGAGAGGGAAGUGGAAUUUCCGGUGUAGCGGUGGAAUGCGUAGACAUCGGAAGGAACAUCAGUGGCGAAAGCGACUUCCUGGACCAAUACUGACGCUCAUGUGCGAAAGCGUGGGGAGCAAACAGG